Molecule: ribosomal RNA, 437 nt
Filed under: Craugastor berkenbuschii
Lineage: Eukaryota; Metazoa; Chordata; Amphibia; Anura; Craugastoridae
Description: partial 12S ribosomal RNA
Rfam family: Bacterial small subunit ribosomal RNA
Source: RNAcentral
UCCGACUCGCCAGAGAACUACGAGCCAAGCUUAAAACUCAAAGGACUUGACGGUUCCCCACAUCCACCUAGAGGAGCCUGUCCUAUAAUUGAUGAUCCCCACUAAACCUCACCCCUUUUAGCUUAUCAGCCUGUAUACUUCCGUCGUCAACUUACCACAUGAGUGCAACUCAGUAGGUCCCGUCGCCUGACCGCACAAACGCCAGGUCAAGGUGCAGCAGAUAAAGGGGGAAGAGAUGGGCUACAUUCUCUAGCAUAGAGUAUACGAAAGGCCAAGAUGAAACCUUAGCCAGAAGGCGGAUUUAGCAGUAAAGGGUGAACAGAGUGCACCCUUUAAUAUGGCACUGAGGUGCGUACACACCGCCCGUCACCCUCCUCAAAAUUCCUACUCCAGUACUUAACACUUCGACAAUCCCAAAGAGGAGGCAAGUCGUAACA